This 336-nucleotide ribosomal RNA is filed under the name Triticum aestivum (bread wheat). RNAcentral describes it as "partial small subunit ribosomal RNA". The record is from RNAcentral. Lineage: Eukaryota; Viridiplantae; Streptophyta; Magnoliopsida; Poales; Poaceae.
AUGAGGAGGAGCUGGUGCUGCAGGUGGAUAUCACCUCGUCCUCGGGGGAGCAGCAGGAGUGGACGGAGCACGCGGCGGGCAAGGAGGCGCGUGGUGCAGCCGACCAAGAAGGCCAGGAACGCGUCUGGUGGUGACAAGGAGCCUGAUUUCCUCGGCGAGCCCUUCAACGCCGAUGAGGCGCGCACCAAGUGGCCACAACGCUACCAGCGAGGCCCUGCAAAGAGGCCAGAUGAGGAGGAGGACGUCAUGGCGCGGUGCCAAUACCGCUCUGCCAAGGUUGACGACGUAGUCUACGCGCUGGCGACGACGACUAUGUCAUGGCUAUCUAUGCCAUGA